GGCUCUGUAGCUCAGAAGGUAAGAGCGCCGGUCUGAAAAAUCGGAGGUCGGGAUGUCGAGAAUCCCUGGAGCCGCCA
Molecule: transfer RNA, 77 nt
Filed under: Erysipelotrichaceae bacterium
Lineage: Bacteria; Bacillati; Bacillota; Erysipelotrichia; Erysipelotrichales; Erysipelotrichaceae
Description: tRNA-Phe
Rfam family: tRNA
About the family: Transfer RNA (tRNA) molecules are approximately 80 nucleotides in length. Their secondary structure includes four short double-helical elements and three loops (D, anti-codon, and T loops). Further hydrogen bonds mediate the characteristic L-shaped molecular structure. tRNAs have two regions of fundamental functional importance: the anti-codon, which is responsible for specific mRNA codon recognition, and the 3' end, to which the tRNAs corresponding amino acid is attached (by aminoacyl-tRNA synthetases). tRNAs cope with the degeneracy of the genetic code in two manners: having more than one tRNA (with a specific anti-codon) for a particular amino acid; and 'wobble' base-pairing, i.e. permitting non-standard base-pairing at the 3rd anti-codon position.
Source: RNAcentral